RNAcentral lists this transfer RNA (69 nucleotides) under Parmaturus melanobranchus. Its description in RNAcentral is "tRNA-Ile". It matches the Rfam family "tRNA". Rfam says of the family: Transfer RNA (tRNA) molecules are approximately 80 nucleotides in length. Their secondary structure includes four short double-helical elements and three loops (D, anti-codon, and T loops). Further hydrogen bonds mediate the characteristic L-shaped molecular structure. tRNAs have two regions of fundamental functional importance: the anti-codon, which is responsible for specific mRNA codon recognition, and the 3' end, to which the tRNAs corresponding amino acid is attached (by aminoacyl-tRNA synthetases). tRNAs cope with the degeneracy of the genetic code in two manners: having more than one tRNA (with a specific anti-codon) for a particular amino acid; and 'wobble' base-pairing, i.e. permitting non-standard base-pairing at the 3rd anti-codon position. The record is from RNAcentral. Lineage: Eukaryota; Metazoa; Chordata; Chondrichthyes; Carcharhiniformes; Scyliorhinidae.
GGAAAUGUGCCUGAAUAAAGGACCACUUUGAUAGAGUGGGUAAUGAGAGUUAAAACCCCUCCAUUUCCU